AUUGAUUCAGUUGAAUCAGAAGUGGGACAUGAAUCUAACAACCAUGACAAGCAGCUCCACAUAAUUAAUUUCCAUAUUCCUUCUGAAAAAGCAUCAUUCUAUCUUCUCCUUCCUUUUAACCCAUAGAUUUUUUCUCCAUCUAUAUUUAAACUCUCGGUCUCUCAAACUUCCACAGAAAGCAAGUUUCAAUAGUGUUUAUUUUCACUCUAGAAGGUGGUGGUGAUGGUGAUGAUUACGAUCAGCUACCGGUGAUUUUCAUGUUCUAUUCCCGGCUUACAUCAAUCAUGGUCAUGGUUCUACUUACUUUGUUUCUUCUAGUGUUGCCGCUUGUUCUGCCGCCGUUGCCGCCGCCGCCGUUAAUCCUUCUCUUCAUUCCGGUCUUAAUCUUGAGCGGUUUGAUUUUCUUGGCAUAUUCUCCUUCCAAGUUGCCUAAUGCCGCAACCGUUAAUGUUUGAUCAUAUCAGAACCAUCUUUUCUUUAUGUCAACAAGAUCAGUGAAAAUUCUUAUUGUUGAUACUGGAGAAGAUAAAUCAGACUGCAAGGAAGCGUGGUAGGGGAGGAUAGGUUCGAACACUGAUAGAGGCAGAAGCCGGACCACCGGAGCUAUCUAGUCUAGCGUGCCGAUUGAAAGAGGAGGGGAGACAACUAAAUGCCAGCGAAAAAAUAGAAAGAGUCAGUGCCGUUCAAAGUAAAAAUUUUUCUAAGAUCCAUUGCUCGAUUUUGCACUUGAGAAUGGUUGUAUUUCAUCACAAGGCUAAACCUAAUAUUAAUCUAGAAAAAUUAAUUAUAAAUAUAUAUUUUUAUCUUAA
Long non-coding RNA from Jatropha curcas, 809 nucleotides. RefSeq lists it as uncharacterized. Lineage: Eukaryota; Viridiplantae; Streptophyta; Magnoliopsida; Malpighiales; Euphorbiaceae. The record is from RefSeq and is a predicted model, not a curated record.